RNAcentral lists this long non-coding RNA (223 nucleotides) under Panax ginseng (ginseng). Its description in RNAcentral is "long non-coding RNA (PGIN_LNC004378)". Lineage: Eukaryota; Viridiplantae; Streptophyta; Magnoliopsida; Apiales; Araliaceae. The record is from RNAcentral.
UCGCCUUAGCGGGUGUAGAUCCAUCUCGUAGAUACUCAUUGAUGCUUUGAUACCAAGGACUGUGGAUGGGAGGUAGCUCAUCUGAUACUUCUCCAACAUAAUUACCAUAGACUGGGGCUCUUUACAGAGUAAAUGUGAUGCUUGGCAUGUUUUCCUUGUCCGAUAUGUAAACCAAGGAGGCCAGCGUUGCUAAUGCAUCUACAAAAUCAUUCCUAUUACGAGG